GGUCCCUUUUUGGUCCAAUGGCUAGGAUUUCACGCUCUCACCAUAGUGACCAGGGUUCAAUCCCUGUGGAGGAGCCA
This is a non-coding RNA of Massospora cicadina, 77 nucleotides long. Lineage: Eukaryota; Fungi; Entomophthoromycota; Entomophthoromycetes; Entomophthorales; Entomophthoraceae. The record is from the annotation of a GenBank genome assembly.